GUGCAGCAGGCGCGAAACUUUACAAUGUGCGAAAGCACGAUAAGGGAACUCUGAGUGCCUCCUAAGGAGGCUGUUCAGGUGUCUAAAAGCACCUGAAGGAAGGGCUGGGUAAGACCGGUGCCAGCCGCCGCGGUAACACCGGCAGCCCAAGUGGUAGCCACGUUUAUUGGGUCUAAAGCGUCCGUAGCCGGCUGGGUAAGUUCCUUGGGAAAUUUGGCUGCUUAACAGUCAAGCUUUCAGGGAAUACUGCCCGGCUUGGGACCGGGAGGGGUCAGAGGUACUCCAGGGGUAGGGGUGAAAUCCAUUAAUCCUUGGGGGACCACCGGUAGCGAAGGCGUCUGACCAGACCGGGUCCGACGGUGAGGGACG
RNAcentral lists this ribosomal RNA (369 nucleotides) under uncultured microorganism. RNAcentral's name for it is "bacterial SSU rRNA". It matches the Rfam family "Archaeal small subunit ribosomal RNA", at positions 330 to 706 of the family's 1478-position model. The record is from RNAcentral.